CCGGGUUACCUCCUUMAUUUUGGGUCMAGGGUUGUUUUCCCUAAGAGCGUAUUGUUGGUUUUCUGUAUUGGAUACCUAAUCGAAGGUAUUAUUUUGAUCGAUUGGAGUCCCUUUUCGUCUUGUGUUGCAUUCUGUGUCGCAUGAUGAACUUUGAAGCGGUCUCUAUGAUCCAUCACGUUGAUGCACUUGCAUUGAUGUUGUGGCCCAUUGAGCUUUGUUUGGUUUCUUGGAUAUGGAACAUGAAGUGGGCAUGGGGCUGUCAUGAUCCUCUUUUGCCCUCGU
Molecule: unclassified non-coding RNA, 282 nt
Filed under: Tephroseris integrifolia subsp. capitata
Lineage: Eukaryota; Viridiplantae; Streptophyta; Magnoliopsida; Asterales; Asteraceae
Description: partial external transcribed spacer
Source: RNAcentral